AGAGUUUGAUCCUGGCUCAGGAUGAACGCUGGCGGCGUGCCUAAUACAUGCAAGUCGAACGAGGUCUUCGGACCUAGUGGCGAACGGGUGAGUAACACGUUGGUACCUGCCUCGAAGUGGGGAAUAACUGGCCGAAAGGUCGGCUAAUACCGCAUGUGACCGCAAGGUUAAAGCAGUAAUGCGCUUCGAGAGGGGCCUGCGUCUGAUUAGCUAGUUGGUGGGGUAACUGCCCACCAAGGCGACGAUCAGUAGCUGGAUCGAGAGGUUGACCAGCCACACUGGGACUGAGAUACGGCCCAGACUCCUACGGGAGGCAGCAGUAAGGAAUCUUCCACAAUGGACGAAAGUCUGAUGGAGCAACGCCGCGUGCAGGAUGACGGUCUUCGGAUUGUAAACUGCUUUUAUACGGGAAGAUUAUGACGGUACCGUAUGAAUAAGGACCGGCUAACUACGUGCCAGCAGCCGCGGUAAUACGUAGGGUCCAAGCGUUAUCCGGAAUCACUGGGCGUAAAGCGUGCGUAGGUGGCGCGUUAAGUGAGAUGUUAAAUCGUGUGGCUC
RNAcentral lists this ribosomal RNA (558 nucleotides) under uncultured bacterium. RNAcentral describes it as "bacterial SSU rRNA". It matches the Rfam family "Bacterial small subunit ribosomal RNA", at positions 8 to 610 of the family's 1533-position model. The record is from RNAcentral.